GACGGAGGUCCCUAGCGUUGUUCGGAAUUAUUGGGCUUAAAGCGCGUGUAGGCGGAGCGGUAAGUACCUUGUGAAAGCCCCGGCCUCAAUCCGGGAAUAGCUUGGUAUACUGCCGUUCUUGAGGCAGGUAGGGGUCACUGGAACCUUAGGUGGAGCGGUGAAAUGCGUAGAUAUCUAAGGGAACGCCUGUGGCGAAAGCGGGUGACUGGGCCUGUCCUGACGCUGAGACGCGAAAGCGUAGGGAGCAAACGGGAUUAGAUACCCCGGUAGUCUACGCCGUAAACGAUGCGCACUAGGUUCGAAGGUCUCUGACGAUCCUCGAGCCGAAACAAAAGCGAUAAGUGCGCCGCCUGGGGAGUACGGCCGCAAGGCUAAA
Molecule: ribosomal RNA, 376 nt
Filed under: uncultured bacterium
Lineage: Bacteria
Description: bacterial SSU rRNA
Rfam family: Bacterial small subunit ribosomal RNA
Source: RNAcentral